This 460-nucleotide ribosomal RNA is filed under the name uncultured bacterium. RNAcentral's name for it is "partial 16S ribosomal RNA". It matches the Rfam family "Bacterial small subunit ribosomal RNA", at positions 338 to 795 of the family's 1533-position model. The record is from RNAcentral.
CCUACGGGAGGCAGCAGUGAGGAAUAUUGGUCAAUGGACGAGAGUCUGAACCAGCCAAGUAGCGUGAAGGAUGACGGCUCUAUGAGUUGUAAACUGCUUUUGUACGAGGGUAAACGCAGAUACGCGUAUCUGUCUGAAAGUAUCGUACGAAUAAGGAUCGGCUAACUCCGUGCCAGCCGCCGCGGUAAUACGGAGGAUUCAAGCGUUAUCCGGAUUUAUUGGGUUUAAAGGGUGCGUAGGCGGUCGGAUAAGUUAGAGGUGAAAUCCCGAGGCUCAACUUCGGAAUUGCCUCUGAUACUGUUCGGCUAGAGAGUAGUGGCGGUAGGCGGAAUGUAUGGUGUAGCGGUGAAAUGCUUAGAGAUCAUACAGAACACCGAUUGCGAAGGCAGCUUACCAAGCUACUUCUGACGUUGAGGCACGAAAGCGUGGGGAGCAAACAGGAUUAGAUACCCGGGUAGUC